CAUAGAUAGUUCUUUUCGACGAGAUUGUUUACUCGACAACUUGUCGCAUCUCGGAGAUUUCGCAUCGAACGAAUAUCUUUUGGACAAUGGCUCUGGCCCCCUAUUUUUUUAAAUGGUUAUUUUAGACCGGAAGAAGUUAGCGCGGAAUUUUUUAAAUUUUAAUAAAACUCCGCCAAUUAAUUGCUCUUUCAAAAGCUGCGAUUGCUCCACAACCAUAAUAAGGAGUUUUUUCAGCAACAAGUUAAAAUUUGGUCACUUGGGUACACAUUCUAACUUCUUACCUCAUCAUCAUCAUCAUCAUCAUCAUCAUCAUCGAAGCAAAGUAUAUUUUUUGAGUUGAAUAAAUUUGAAGACACAUUUUUUUAUUGCUUGGACGUAAUUAAAAUCGUCGAGAAUUCUGUAACGAUCUUCGCGAUAAUGAACAAGAUCAUCGAGAAACCGCAUACUGCUUUCGUUAUGAAGUUUCGUUAGCACUGGAGGCAGAGGAGUUAUUCCAGC
Molecule: long non-coding RNA, 498 nt
Organism: Microplitis mediator
Lineage: Eukaryota; Metazoa; Arthropoda; Insecta; Hymenoptera; Braconidae
Exons: 3
Source: RefSeq, a predicted model, not a curated record